Molecule: ribosomal RNA, 810 nt
Filed under: Triticum aestivum (bread wheat)
Lineage: Eukaryota; Viridiplantae; Streptophyta; Magnoliopsida; Poales; Poaceae
Description: partial small subunit ribosomal RNA
Source: RNAcentral
AUGGCCUUCAUGAUUCUAGGACCUGGAAUCAUACCAGCCGAUGGUUUGAAGCACUCCUCUGGUUUGAAGGAUAGAUACCUUUUCUGGGAUCAAUACCAUAUAACUGGAAUAAACCGAUGCAAGUCUAAGAAGGAUUGGCCGGUGCUGCCGGCUGGCGUCAAGUUCGACCCUAUGGAUCAGGAGCUGAUCGAGCACCUUGAGGCCAAACGCAAUUCCAUGGCAUUCAAAAGGGGCACGUGGACGCGUCGCAAGAUACAGUCGGAGUGCGGCAUGCACACGAUGUGGCACAAGACCGGCAAUACCUUGCCUGUGAUGGUCAAUAGCCGGGAGACGGGCAGCAAAAAGGUUCUGGUGCUGCACACCAACAAGAACUUUGACCAGCAGAGGACCGACUGGGUGAUGCACCAGUACCACCUCGGGGACCUGGAAAUUUUCUUGUUUAUUGAGAAGGUGCUAUCUGACGAUGUGGACAGCGAGGAUGAAGAUGUCCAGAGGAGGUACAAGAGGCAAAUCCCAAGGGAGCUUUAUGCGGGAAUGCAUAACAUGCGUAUUAGGACCUGGGAUGGCGGCUAUCGAUGCCCAUUUUGCAACCACAACCUUCAUGACGCGUAUCAAAGUGUUCUGGUGCAUGCAAGAGGACGUGUCGUUGGCCCCUUCAAGCAGAAGUAUUCUCGCAGGGUGGCGCACGAAAACCCUCACCAUCCCCACGUCACAAAAACCCUCACACCGCCCGCCACCCCCUCCGGUCCCCAUUUACACAUGCACAAGCUCCUCCGCGUCUAUGCAUGGCACCGCCUAUCGCGGCGGUAA